This 352-nucleotide long non-coding RNA is filed under the name Mytilus galloprovincialis (Mediterranean mussel). Lineage: Eukaryota; Metazoa; Mollusca; Bivalvia; Mytilida; Mytilidae. The record is from RNAcentral.
UUUUUUAAUGAUUUUUUUUAAGAAUAUUUACAUGUUUUACAUUUAUAAUAAUAUUGUGUAUUGUUGAUUUUUUUUCCAAUUUUUUAGUGCUUCAAAAUUUUUUUUUUAAGUUAAUGAAAGAAAACGAAUGUUUACUUAUAAAAAUCUUGACCUUUUCAUUAAGCAACUAAAAUAAGUCAAAAUAUAUAUUUCAUAUUUGGACAGAAGUCUUGAGUCUUUUAAAUAUAGGUUCUACUUCUGCAUCGAGUGUGAUUCAAUAUUCAUCCGCUUGAGAGAGUUAAAGGAUUAGGUUCAGUAAGACCCCUUUUUGGCCCCAAAAUAUAGUAGUUUUACAAAAUUGUGAAAAUGUAAU